Molecule: ribosomal RNA, 768 nt
Filed under: Triticum aestivum (bread wheat)
Lineage: Eukaryota; Viridiplantae; Streptophyta; Magnoliopsida; Poales; Poaceae
Description: partial small subunit ribosomal RNA
Source: RNAcentral
AUGUCCAGCCCUCCACCGAGUUCUUCCCACCCGCCGCCGCCGCACACCUACCCGCCGCCACCAGCGUCUUCAUCGGCGCUGCUGCCCCACACAGCAGGCGCGGCGGCAUUGGGCGUGCUGGCGUCCUCAGGGGCGAUUGCACCCUCUGCCCCGGCGCCGUCCGCCCUCGUCCUCACCCCGGAGCAGAUGACAGCCGCAAUCCUGGAAUUACGGCAGGCCGUGGCGGGCAUCAGGGCCUUCGUCGUCGGGCCCUAUGCGCCCCAGCCGCAUCCCCAGCAGCCACCUCCCCCGCCGCCACACCAACAACAGCUACCCCCGCCGUCGCCGCCCUCGGACGCGACCACGGCGCCGGUCAUCUCGUACCAGUAUGGGAUGCCCUACGACGGGACUGCGACGGCCUCGUUCCCAUCAGCGCUGCCGCUGUCCCAGGGCGUCCCCAUCCAGCAGAUCAAGUUCCCGCCGUCGCUGUCACCGCAUCUGGCUUGGAUCGCUACCCGCCACGUGUCGGCGGCGGUGAGGCUGCAGGCUGCUGCGCGCGGCCUCCUAGCGCGUCGGCGUGUGCGGGAGAUGCGUGGUCUGCAGCUGCCGCUCCUCCCAGUUGCGCUUCGUUGCGCAAAGGACCUCGAUCUCGUCCGCUGCGUCAGGGAUCUUGGGCAUGCGGUUUUUCCCACGGGCGGCGGGCAUGCUGUUUUCCCCACGGACAGCGAUCUCAAAGUCUGUGACAUCGGCGGUUGGGGGUGCGCACCCCUCCUCGCCAUUCUCCAUUGA